This 650-nucleotide ribosomal RNA is filed under the name uncultured bacterium. RNAcentral describes it as "bacterial SSU rRNA". It matches the Rfam family "Bacterial small subunit ribosomal RNA", at positions 64 to 748 of the family's 1533-position model. The record is from RNAcentral.
GAACGUGAAGCCGUCCUUCGGGGCGGUGGAAAGUGGCGCACGGGUGAGUAACGCGUGGGAACCUGCCCCUUGGUAUGGGAUAACCGUGGGAAACUGCGGCUAAUACCGUAUACGCCCUGAGGGGGAAAGAUUUAUCGCCGAGGGAGGGGCCCGCGUCGGAUUAGGUAGUUGGUGGGGUAACGGCCUACCAAGCCGACGAUCCGUAGCUGGUCUUAGAGGACGGUCAGCCACACUGGGACUGAGACACGGCCCAGACUCCUACGGGAGGCAGCAGUGGGGAAUAUUGGACAAUGGGGGAAACCCUGAUCCAGCAAUGCCGCGUGGGUGACGAAGGCCUUAGGGUUGUAAAGCCCUUUCGGCGGGGAAGAUGAUGACGGUACCCGCAGAAGAAGCCCCGGCUAACUCCGUGCCAGCAGCCGCGGUAAUACGGAGGGGGCUAGCGUUGUUCGGAAUUACUGGGCGUAAAGGGCGUGUAGGCGGCCCGUCAAGUCAGGCGUGAAAGCCCUGGGCUUAACCUAGGAGGUGCGCUUGAAACUGAUGGGCUUGAGGCCGGGAGAGGAGAGUGGAAUUCCCAGUGUAGAGGUGAAAUCCGUAGAUAUUGGGAAGAACACCAGUGGCGAAGGCGGCUCUCUGGUCCGGUUCUGACGCUA